This 77-nucleotide transfer RNA is filed under the name Rhodospirillales bacterium 70-18. RNAcentral's name for it is "tRNA-Arg". It matches the Rfam family "tRNA". From Rfam's summary of the family: Transfer RNA (tRNA) molecules are approximately 80 nucleotides in length. Their secondary structure includes four short double-helical elements and three loops (D, anti-codon, and T loops). Further hydrogen bonds mediate the characteristic L-shaped molecular structure. tRNAs have two regions of fundamental functional importance: the anti-codon, which is responsible for specific mRNA codon recognition, and the 3' end, to which the tRNAs corresponding amino acid is attached (by aminoacyl-tRNA synthetases). tRNAs cope with the degeneracy of the genetic code in two manners: having more than one tRNA (with a specific anti-codon) for a particular amino acid; and 'wobble' base-pairing, i.e. permitting non-standard base-pairing at the 3rd anti-codon position. The record is from RNAcentral. Lineage: Bacteria; Pseudomonadati; Pseudomonadota; Alphaproteobacteria; Rhodospirillales.
GGCCCCGUAGCUCAACUGGAUAGAGCAACGGAUUUCUACUCCGUUGGUUGGGGGUUCGAGUCCCUCCGGGGUCGCCA